RNAcentral lists this transfer RNA (81 nucleotides) under Felis catus (domestic cat). It matches the Rfam family "tRNA". Rfam says of the family: Transfer RNA (tRNA) molecules are approximately 80 nucleotides in length. Their secondary structure includes four short double-helical elements and three loops (D, anti-codon, and T loops). The record is from Rfam by way of RNAcentral. Lineage: Eukaryota; Metazoa; Chordata; Mammalia; Carnivora; Felidae.
GCCUGGGUGGCUCAGUCAGUUGAGUGUCUGACUUCAGUCACAAUCUCACACAGUUCGUGGGUUCGAGCCCUGCCUCAGGCU